This 1382-nucleotide ribosomal RNA is filed under the name metagenome. Its description in RNAcentral is "bacterial LSU rRNA". It matches the Rfam family "Bacterial large subunit ribosomal RNA", at positions 1471 to 2925 of the family's 2925-position model. The record is from RNAcentral.
GACACUUCGAGAUAGCGGAACCGCGGCGUUGGUAGACCGCGGCGAAAGGGACUGAAAUAUAGUAGGGAAGUCCGUGAUGCUCGGAGGCGAGAAAAGCUCUAAGGAAUGCUAAGGUGCCCGUACCGCAAACCGACACAGGUAGAUGAGGAGAGAAUCCUAAGGCCAACGGGAGAAGGGUUGUCAAGGAACUCGGCAAGUUGACCCCGUAACUUCGGAAGAAGGGGAGCCUCGAAAGAGGCCGCAGUGAAUAGGCCCAGGCAACUGUUUACCAAAAACACAGGUCUAUGCUAAGUCGAAAGAUGACGUAUAUGGGCUGACGCCUGCCCGGUGCCGGAAGGUUAAGAGGAGAUGUCAGGCAACGAAGCAUCGAAUUGAAGCCCCGGUAAACGGCGGCCGUAACUAUAACGGUCCUAAGGUAGCGAAAUUCCUUGUCAGGUAAGUUCUGACCCGCACGAAUGGCGUAAUGAUCUGGGCACUGUCUCGACAGCCCACCCGGCGAAAUUGUAGUACUGGUGAAGAUGCCAGUUACCCGCAACUAGACGGAAAGACCCCAUGGAGCUUUACUGCAGCUUAAUACUGGAAAUCGGUAAUUCAUGUACAGGAUAGGUGGGAGACGGAGAAGCAUGGUCGUCAGGUCAUGUGGAGUCGCCCUUGGGAUACCACUCUUGGAUUGCUGGUUUUCUAACCUGCGGCCGUGAAUCCGGUCGGGGGACACUGUUAGGCGGGCAGUUUGACUGGGGCGGUCGCCUCCAAAAAGGUAACGGAGGCGCUCAAAGGUUCGUUCAGCACGGACGGAAAUCGUGCAUUGAGUGUAAACGCAUAAACGAGCCUAACUGCGAGACCGACGGGUCGAGCAGUAACGAAAGUUGGAGUUAGUGAUCCGGUGGUAUGUGAGUGGAAAUGCCAUCGCUCAACGGAUAAAAGCUACCCUGGGAUAACAGGCUGAUCUCCCCCAAGCGUCCACAGCGACGGGGAGGUUUGGCACCUCGAUGUCGGCUCGUCGCAUCCUGGGGCUGAAUUCGGUCCCAAGGGUUUGGCUGUUCGCCAAUUAAAGCGGCACGCGAGCUGGGUUCAGAACGUCGUGAGACAGUUCGGUCCCUAUCUGUUGCGGGCGUAAGAGAUUUGAAGGGAGCUGUCCUUAGUACGAGAGGACCGGGAUGGACGUACCUCUGGUGCACCAGUUGUCCUGCCAAGGGCAUAGCUGGGUAGCUAUGUACGGACGAGAUAAACGCUGAAAGCAUCUAAGCGUGAAACUCCCCCUAAGAUGAGAUCUCUCAUUCGAAAGAAGUAAGGACCCAGAGAGACGAUCUGGUUGAUAGGCGCGAGGUGGAAGUGCAGUAAUGUAUGGAGCUGACGCGUACUAAUAGUCCGAGGGCUUGAUC